This 442-nucleotide ribosomal RNA is filed under the name uncultured bacterium. RNAcentral describes it as "partial 16S ribosomal RNA". It matches the Rfam family "Bacterial small subunit ribosomal RNA", at positions 338 to 795 of the family's 1533-position model. The record is from RNAcentral.
CCUACGGGUGACAGCAGUGGGGAAUAUUGGGCAAUGGGCGCAAGCCUGACGCAGCAACGCCGCGUGAAGGUAGAAGGCUUUCGGGUGGUAAACUUCUUUUAAGAGGGAAGAGCAGAAGACGGUACCUCUUGAAUAAGCCACGUCUAACUACGUCCCAGCAGCCGCGGUAAUACGUAGGUGGCAAGCGUUGUCCGGAUUUACUGGGUGUAAAGGGCGUGUAGCCGGGCUGACAAGUCAGAUGUGAAAUGCCGGGGCUCAACCCCGGACCUGCAUUUGAAACUGUUGGUCUUGAGUGUCGGAGAGGCAGGCGGAAUUCCUGGUGUAGCGGUGAAAUGCGUAGAUAUUAGGAGGAACACCAGUGGCGAAGGCGGCCUGCUGGACGACAACUGACGGUGAGGCGCGAAAGCGUGGGGAGCAAACAGGAUUAGAUACCCGGGUAGUC